UUCGGGGUACUCGAGCGGCGAACGGGUGAGUAACACGUGAGCAACCUGCCCUAGGCUUUGGGAUAACCCCGGGAAACCGGGGCUAAUACCGAAUAGGACCUGGCCUCGCAUGAGGCUGGGUGGAAAGUUUUUCGGCCUGGGAUGGGCUCGCGGCCUAUCAGCUUGUUGGUGGGGUGAUGGCCUACCAAGGCGACGACGGGUAGCCGGCCUGAGAGGGCGACCGGCCACACUGGGACUGAGACACGGCCCAGACUCCUACGGGAGGCAGCAGUGGGGAAUAUUGCACAAUGGGCGGAAGCCUGAUGCAGCGACGCCGCGUGAGGGAUGACGGCCUUCGGGUUGUAAACCUCUUUCAGCAGGGACGAAGCGUAAGUGACGGUACCUGCAGAAGAAGCGCCGGCCAACUACGUGCCAGCAGCCGCGGUAAGACGUAGGGCGCGAGCGUUGUCCGGAUUUAUUGGGCGUAAAGAGCUCGUAGGCGGCUUGUCGCGUCGACUGUGAAAACCCGCAGCUCAACUGCGGGCCUGCAGUCGAUACGGGCAGGCUAGAGUUCGGUAGGGGAGACUGGAAUUCCUGGUGUAGCGGUGAAAUGCGCAGAUAU
This 601-nucleotide ribosomal RNA is filed under the name Micromonospora sp. I08A-00453. RNAcentral describes it as "bacterial SSU rRNA". It matches the Rfam family "Bacterial small subunit ribosomal RNA", at positions 81 to 697 of the family's 1533-position model. Lineage: Bacteria; Bacillati; Actinomycetota; Actinomycetes; Micromonosporales; Micromonosporaceae. The record is from RNAcentral.